GGAGGAAAAGAAACUAACAAGG
This 22-nucleotide small nuclear RNA is filed under the name Arabidopsis thaliana (thale cress). RNAcentral describes it as "snRNA_17160". The record is from RNAcentral. Lineage: Eukaryota; Viridiplantae; Streptophyta; Magnoliopsida; Brassicales; Brassicaceae.